UACGAAGGUGGCAAGCGUUGUUCGGAUUUAUUGGGCCUAAAGCAUCCGUAGCCGGUCCUACAAGUCUUCCGUUAAAUCCACCUGCUUAACAGAUGGGCUGCGGAAGAUACUAUAGGGCUAGGAGGCGGGAGAGGCAAGCGGUACUCAGUGGGUAGGGGUAAAAUCCUCUGAUCCAUUGAAGACCACCAGUGGCGAAGGCGGCUUGCCAGAACGCGCUCGACGGUGAGGGAUGAAAGCUGGGGGAGCAAACCGG
This 253-nucleotide ribosomal RNA is filed under the name uncultured bacterium. RNAcentral describes it as "partial 16S ribosomal RNA". It matches the Rfam family "Bacterial small subunit ribosomal RNA", at positions 524 to 776 of the family's 1533-position model. The record is from RNAcentral.